RNAcentral lists this transfer RNA (73 nucleotides) under Raddaella batesii. RNAcentral describes it as "tRNA-Val". It matches the Rfam family "tRNA". Rfam says of the family: Transfer RNA (tRNA) molecules are approximately 80 nucleotides in length. Their secondary structure includes four short double-helical elements and three loops (D, anti-codon, and T loops). The record is from RNAcentral. Lineage: Eukaryota; Metazoa; Chordata; Actinopteri; Cyprinodontiformes; Nothobranchiidae.
CAGAUUGUAGCUAAAACAGCUAAAGCAUCUCUUUUACACUGAGAAAAUACCCGUGCAAGUCGAGUCAUUCUGA